UCUGUUCGAGAGACGCUGAAUCAGUGUUUCUUCGCAAGUUCUGUCUGUGGAUACUUGAUAAUGAAUUCGUAGGUGAUCGACGUUACCCGCUGCAAAAUCGGGGACAAUCUCUGGAAGGUGUAGCUUUUCUUUCGUUGUUUUCAUAGGUGGCAAUUUAUUGAAAGAAGUAGGUGAAGUCUAAUUUCGAAGGAAAAACAAGAGAGGGAGAGUGAAAUUUAUGGGAAGUAGGGUGUACAUGGGUUGGUUCAGUCCCCUUUUCAGGCAAAAAAACUGAGCCAAUCCGGGUGCUGUAGGUUGAAAGGGAGGGACAGAGGGAUUUGGGUGCUUUUGUGGUAUGUUGGAAAUGUGGAUGUGUAGUAUGUUCUUAUCAUACAGAUGUGGAGUGGGUGAUAGGUUUGCCAGGAGAAUUGAAUUCUGAGAAACUUUGAUCACUAGGAUAGAGGGCUUUGUCUCUAUGUUCUGUUUGGCGCUUGAAGAGGCAAAACCAUAGAGGAAUGAAGAAGAUGCAGUGAAAUGGCAAGCCACCAGGAAAGGUCGCUCGACGGUCAAGUGCUUUAACCACUUCUUGACUUUGGCAACUAGGGAGAGUUGAUAGCCAAAUUUAAUUUGGACUGUAAGAGUAAUAUGAACAUCGGCUGUGCCCAUGGAUAACUGGUUAGGUGAUUAUUUUCUUUUUCCCUGUGGACUAUGGAUGUGAAAAAGAAAUGGUCACAAGAAACACAUAGUUUACAAGAUGCUGAUUGUCGAUUCUGAUUUCUGAGGCCUUCGCAACAGUUUGGGAUUCUCUUUCCAUCCUUAUGUGCCAUAGCUUUUAUGAAGGAAAAUGAUUGAGAAGCUAAAAUUCCUGGAUGCUUCUUGAAUGUUAGAGUGAGACCUGACUAAUGAAACAUAAACUUCUGAGGUACCAAUAAUAAGACACACUGGAAUGAGCAACAUGUAGUUCCUCAAAUGUUGUAGUUUUUGCUUUAGUGUUGUUAGGGCCAUAUCAGUUAAAGUGUUGGGUGGGAUUUGCAUCUGAAUUACAGGAUGAGUAUGUAUUAAUUAUCAUUACUUGGAAGUUUGUGACCAGUGUAUUAUACAGGACCUGCAAGAUCUUGAUCUUAUAGCUAGGAGAUAUGGUCUGAAUGUACGUUUAUCAUUGCUUCUCCACCCCUUUUUAUAAAUUUUGGACAGCACUUUGCUGCUGUUCUGAAUUGAUACCCUCACAUUAUCCACUCACAGUUAUUGUUAAUCUUUUUUGUGUUUCUGCUCUAAAUAUUUCUUUAAUAGAUGCUAAUUUAGUAUAUCUGAACAAAUCUGUUAAAAAGUGGAAUUUUCUAUGCAUUAUUAGGCUGUAAAUGCUUUUGUUCCCAUUAUUCUUUCAUAAAAUAUGACUAUGGCUAACAAUGGCAAGAAUGUUGCUUUACUAUGUACAAUGUUUCAUGAUUCUGGUGUGCCAUUGUGCUCUGUCUGAAUUUCGGACCAAGAACAAGCAAAGAAAAAGUUUUAAUGAGGAGAGAGAGAAUAGAGGAAUGAUAUCAAUUUUUUUGGAUUGAAAUAAAGCUGUUGCAAGCUGCUGGACCAAAAUGUUGAGCGCUCAUGGAUUGUGCUGUAUUGCAUGCUUGAAAAUGUUGACGAGUACUUGAUGGCCUCAACUGAUUAUAAAUUUAUCGAUUAUUCUGGGUACUUCUGUUUACAUGAGAGUGAGUUGCUAUGGUUUCUUCACCUCUCCUGAUUCAAAAGGUGUAGGGAGAAAUGCAAAAUUCUAAAGCUGAGGGAAGUGAGUCAAGAGACUUGGCAAAAUCUCAAGUAUAGGAAGUUUAACUGCAAUUUCACAUAAAAUUUCAAAGAAUAUAACACUUGAGUACUAGAAAUCAGAUUGAAUACCUAAUGGUAAGGAGCAAAGAGAGUUGUCCAUGCUUCACGCAUAAAAUCCUCUCUCUGAUUCUGUCUUAAAGACAGUGAUUUUUGCAAUAGGAUUCAUGAUCUAAUGCAGUUGGCUUUGGUGAAAAUCCUGUCCCUAGGAUAUAUUGUAUGCACUCUAAUCUCCCUCACUUAGUCUACAUACUGAGCAAAGGAGCCUUAAAAGUAUAGUCAAAAUGGAGUAGAUACGAAAAUGGCGAUUUGAAGAGGAAGAAGACGAGUUAUAUUAUGUUGUCUUCAUUUGCUUUUGUUAACUAUUUUAUUUGCUCUGCGAAUGCUCUCAACACUAAAACAAGAAGAAAACAACACUAAGAGAUGUACUGAUUCAAAGACAAACUAUUUGACUCAAACGCUAAGCAAGAGUAAAUAAAUAAACCUGAAGGAGAAAACAUAUUUCGUGAGAUGCAUUUCCUAAAUUUAUGUUGAAACUACUCUAAUAGCAACUUUCUGCCUAACAAAUUUCUAAAGUUUGAUAUGCUUUCUUUAUUUUUCUCCUUGCACUUUCCAAGGCAACAAGACAUGCAGAGAUGGAAGCUCUUGAUAUUCUUUUUGAGCAGUGGCGGUGGACUGGAUUUUCAUCUGCAGAAGUUGCAGAGAAAUUUUCAGCAUGCUCCCUUUAUGUGAUGUCAACCAUGCAUAAUGUGCACAGCAGCAUUAUCGAUCAUUGGUAUAUCGGUCAUACUGAAAUAAAACUAAACUUUUGUCAAAUUUGUUAGUUCACAUAUGAUUAGAUUAGACUCUUAGCCAUUUUUAGGUAUAAAGGAAAUUUAUUAUGGCUGUGCAAAUGAUGAAUUUUGAGGCUGUGGCUCAUUGCAUUCAAGUACCUCUGAGGCAUGCAUUAGGUCAGUUUCAGAACUUGCUUUUGUUGCUGAUUUCAUUACUCACUUUGAAAUUGUGACAUAUGUCAAUUGACAACUAAAGCUUACUAGAGGUUUAUAUGACUCCUUAUUUUGAUUAAUGAUGGUGUGGUUUCAUAGUAAUUCUGUUCAUUGUCACACUUUAAAUAUUGCGACACAUAACCAUGAAAUUAAAUGGAGGUUUAUGGAACUAAUUUUCCACCUUUUCUAUUAUUUUCCAAGUCUAAAUCUAAGAAACUUGACUUUCCAAAAGUGUCAAGAAGUUAAGUUAAUAUUACUUUUUCUUUCCCUGCUUUGUUUCCUUUUAUUUUUAAAAUCAAUGUGACUUGUUAGACAUUCAUUUUUUUUUUUAUUUGCCCUAAAGAAUUUACAUUUUUGGGAAGCACCACAAGUUAAGGUGACCUUAGUUCUUUCUUUCCUUUUCCCAUUCCCCCCUGUUUCUUCUUCUCUCCUACCUUGCUUUUUUUCACUCCAGCGAGAUUCUUUGAUGUCUUUAAUGUUUUUAAAAUGGUAAAUAUAGCAUUUUCAAAGAAUUAUGAUUUUUUAACUAUGAGGAAUUUAUGCUUUCUGAUAUGCUAUGGGCAAUGUACUCGAUAAAGAAAUCCCUUUUCUUGUUUAUUAGUUGCAAUCUUCUCUUCUUGCAUAUAUGAGGGAAUGUGCUUGCUAAAUUGUGGUGUAUGGCAUGUGUUUCCAGUAUUUAGCAAGCAUAGCUUCUUCAAAGAAUGUGAUAUCUUAACUAUGAGGAAUUUCUGAUAUGCCAUGGGCAAUGUACUUGAUAAAGAAAUCUCUUUUUUUGUUUGUUAGUUGCAAUUAUCUCUUCUUGCAUGCACGAGGGCAUGUGCUUCCUAAAUUGCGGUGCAUGGCAUGUGUUUCUCGUAUGAUUUUUGAUGUGUUUGAUGGUGCCAUGAUCUGACAUUUCAUGUUUCCUAAGCUUGUCCAAAACUCAUCAAUUUUUAUUUAGAUUUUGUUGGCAUAAAAGUUAAAAACUUAGUGAAAUAGAAUCUGCUUCAUUGUGAUUGGAGCAGUGCAUAGAGUAGCUAUUCUAGAUUACAGACAAUGUCUUUCUGUUGAAUUACUAGUUUUAAAAGAAGAAGCUCAAGCUGCUCUUCAUAAUCUGAUUAUAAGUCAAAAAUAUCAUGGGAAACAUGAAGGAGAUCAUUGCCUUUCUGAAUACAACAUCAAGCAAGAGGAUGCUCCUUGCAGAUAGUGGACCACCUUGCUCAAAUUCCACCUUGUGAAGCUAAAAAACUAGCCCUAAUUAUUGCAUAAUUUCAUGAUAGAGAGAAUGAGACCGUUGUUAAUGGUGAGCAUGGUUUCUUAUUCGAUGUUUGGAAGAUGGAGCUGAUUGAAACCCAUCCUAGCCUAUAUUAGUAUACAAUUCAUCCAAAAUCUUCUCUCAAUCAGAUCACCAGUGCCAGUUACUCUAUGACAGAACUUGCCCAUGCAUAUUAAAAGCCUCAAAGUAUUGCCCUGUUUACAGCAUGUUGUUUGAUCUCCAAGGAAAUUAGGUUUCAGCCACAGCUAACCCAAACACACCUCUUUUAACCUGAUGCAAGAAGUUUGCCAAGGUGUAUAGCCUAGUUACUGUCAAUUCAUUUAAAUAGUACAGUUCAGAGUUAAUUUGCUUGCCUGCAUAUCUGUUUUCUGCAGUACAGACAUGUCUUAAAGUUGACAUGCUUAGGACCUAAAUGUAAACUUCUGAAGUUAAGCAUAUACCUUUACCGGCGAACUUGUUUUUGCUUGGAUGAUACCUUCUUUUGCAAAGUGCGUUGUCCAUCAGUCUACUAAAUUGUCUCUUGCAUGGUAUUCGGGCUUGUUUUUCAUAUAGAAUCUGUUUUGGGUUUCAAGCUGACGAGCUAGGUGAAAAAGUAGAAUCAUCAGAACUAGUUGGUUGCUUUCAGAAAUAUAAUCUUUUUUCCCCUUUUCAAGUGUCUGCAUGAUUUAUGAAUGUUUCCAACAUUUUUCUUGUUUCUCUUGCAGUAAUGGAAAUUCUAGAUCAAAUGCACCCUAAGUAUAGUUGAUUCAGUGGAACAGUGUUCAGCCAUUUAGUGGUUGCAAAGAAUGGUUGUAGAAUUUGCUCAGUAACAAAAGGUAGAGUAAUAGAUAGCCAGUCCUUUCUUUAGGCCAAUUUUCAAAUGCCUUGUUUAUCAAAUGUAGCUUUUUCCUCUAGACUGGGUAUUCUUAGCCAGAUUGUCAUUUGAGAAAUGGGACAUCAUGUCCUUGGUUAUGGAAAAAGAUGAAGUGCAGUAUCUUAAUAUCCGUUCGUUAGACUCGUUGAGAGCAGUAUCUUCUUGAUCUUUAUCGUGAAUUACUAACAUAUAUGGUUCUUGGUCGAGCAAUUCUCCAAUUUGAGCUCUUUAGUUGAAUAUAUUUCAAGAGACUGAUCUGACCUUAACCUUUUCAGGCUUCUAAGAUAAUUAGUAUGCUUUUGCAGCUCAAUACAUGCAGAAAAUAUGGCCUUGAAAUCUUUUGUCUAGGCAAUUAUAUAAUUGAAUUUGUUUUCCUUCUCUAUUUUAUAGAACCCUGUAACUUGAAGGUCAUUUCUCUUUGCCAUUUUCCCAUCCUUUUCCAUUCAUUUGCUGUUUAUGACAUUGUGCAGUCUAUGAUCUGUUUAAAUAUUAUAGAUAAAUACUGAAUGCUAAUAUUUGGAUUUCAGCUUCAAAGCCUCACAUCACGAGUUACUCAGGCUUCUUUUUAAAUCUGCGUGCAUUGGUUCUUCCUGUUGAAUCCUCUCAUGGCUUUGCACAACUAGGUAACACCUUUGGAUUAUGAUUGUCGCUUUUUUGAACAUGAUGGACAUCAUGCAUUGUUGGGUCAUUAUGAUUGUCAGUUACUUGUGAACAUCAUGGCCUGUUAAAAGGGAAUGGCACGGAUUACGACGCUGUGGCGAUGUUUCUUGCCAUGGCAGUAGGAUAUGAUGCUCAUGUUAAGAUGGAGUAUACCUAUAGCUAUAGAUUUCCUUGUAUGAUGGUAGUCAAUCACAACAAGGACACUAUAAAGGUCUUCAAUAUGAAGAUAGAUAACAUCCUUGCUCUUCAUUCCCGAUUCUUGGUUUAUUCUAAUAUAUUGUUCAUUUUUGUUAUUCCUGUUAGUUAAUUUCUUCAUUUGACUAUAACCUAAGUCAAACUUGCAGUUCAAGGUAGUUUAAUUCUUGAGGUGAACUCAUUGCGAAAUUACUUCUGAACUAUAGUAUUGUGAUUGUUUGUAUUCUACAUGUAAAGCACAAAUCUGGAUUGGAUAUCAUUAGUGCUGAUUCUAGCAAGAUAAGAUAUUCUACUAUUUGUGUGUGAUAUCAGAAACAUUAAUUAUUUGAUCACAAAUGUACGUUCAAACGGCCUUUUGAGUAGAGAGACUUGUUUGAAUAUUACCAAUGAUGAUUGAAAUUCUAUUUGCGAUAGGAUGAUGUAGUUAAAAAUCUAGCAUUCCAUAAAGUAGCUUCAAAUGAUUUUGUGCACUCUGACUAACAAUGCAUGUGCCAUUUCAUGCUUUUUCGAUCACAGAAUUUCCUCAAGGGACCUGAGAGAAGAAGCUUGAUUCUUGUCCAAAUCAGUGUUUGCUCAGAUGGUCGUGUUCACUAAGGAUUGCAGCUACACUCACAAUUUUAUUUUGUGCUUUAACUUAAUUCUUAGAUCAUUAAGAUAAUUUACAGAAUUUACAGCAUAACCUUAUGUAGGCAUCACUUUUUUAUGUUAAUUUUUGUCAUCGACAUAUUCUGUAAUUUGAUUUUUUUCCUUUUUUUAAAAUUUUUUGAACUUUGGGUUAAUUCUAGGCUUGCUAUUAUGUAUUUGAGCACUAGAUUUUGAACUAUAUCAUGUGUGAUCCCUUAUGAUGAUAAAAGUGGUAUAUAAUUUGCAUGUAAUUCACAUGGACUUCCUAGCAAAGAACGCAUUGACUGGAUUUGAGCUUUUUUAUUAUGCCAAGUCUGUCAUAAACACUUGAAUAUAUAAUGUUGUAGAGUCAGUUAAUGUCGUGAUCAUGCUUGACUUUGCCUAGCAUGAAAUUGUGGGAUAGGACAUGUGGUGGCUCAAAAAGGACGUGAAAAACUCCAUGUUUUGCUUGGUUAGGAGGCAAUUGGCAAUUACUUCUUUCCAGAGUGCGCUUUCAGUACUGUUCAAUCCUGCAUGAGGAUGCUCCUUGUAGAUAAUGGACUACCUUGCUCAAAUUCCACCUUGCUAAGCUCAAAAAGUGCCCCUAAUUAUUGUAUUUUUUCAUGAUAGAGAGAAUGAAACCGUUGUUAAUGGUGAGCAUGGUUUUUUAUUCGAUGUUUGGAAGAUGGAGCCGAUUGAAACCCAUCCUAGCCAGUAUUAGUAUAAAAGUCAUUCCAUAAAUCCUCUCUCAAUCAGAUCACCAGUGCCAAAAACUCUGUGAGAGAACUUGCCCAUGCAUAUAAAAAGCCUCGAAGUAUGCCCUGUUUGCAGCGUGUUGUUUGAUCUCCAGGGAAAUUAGGUUUCAGCCAUAGCUAACCCAAACACACCUCUUUUAAUCUGAUGCGAGAAGUUUGCCAAGGUGUAUAGCCUAGUUACUGUCAAUCAAUUUAAAUGGUACACUUCUGAGUUAAUUUGCUUGCCCGAAUAUUUGUUUUCUGUGGUACAGGCAUGUCUUAAAGUUGAUAUGCUUAGGACCUGGAUGUAAACUUCCUAAGUUAAGCAUAUUCCUUACCUGCGAACUUGUUUUUGAUCGGAUGAUACCUUCUUUUGCAAAGUGCAUUGUUGACUAGUCUGCUUAAUUAUCUCUUGCAUGGUAUUUGGGCAUGUUUUUCAUAUAGAAUCUGUUUUGGGUUUCAAGCUGAUGAGCUAGGUGAAAAUGCAGAAUAUCGGAAAUAGUUGGUUGCUUCCACAGAAAUUUAAGUGUCUGCAUGAUUUAUGAAUGUUUCCAACUUUUUUCUUGUUUCACGUGUAGUAAUGGAAAUUCUAGAUCAAAUGCACCCUAAGUAUAGCUGAUUCAAUGGUGUUCAGCCAUAUAAUAGUUGCAUAGAAUGGGUGUAGAAUUUGCUCAGCAACAAAAGGUAGAGUAAUAGAUGCCCAGUCUUUUCUUUUGGCCAAUUUUCAGAUGCCUUGUUUAUCAAAUGUAGCUAUUUCCUCUAGACUGGGUAUUCUUAGCCAGAUUGUCAUUUAAGAAAUGGGAAGUCGUGUCCCUGGUUAAGGAAAAAGACGAAGUGCAGUAUAUUAAUAGCUACUCCAUUCGUUAGACUCGUUGAGAGAAGUAUCUUCUUGAUCCUUAUCAUGAAUUACUAGCAUAUAUGGUUCUUGGUCAAGCAAUUCUCCAAUUUUUGAGCUCUUCAUUUGCAUAUAUUUCAAGAGACUGAUCUGACCUUAACCUUUUCAGGCUUCUAAGAUAAUUAGUACACUCAUUGCAUACAGAAAAUAUGGCCUUGAAAAUACUUGUCUAGGUAAUUAUAAAAUGAAUUUGUUUUGCUUCUCUGUUUUAUAGAACCCUGUAACUUGAAUUUAAUUUCUCUCCGCCAUUUUCCCAUCCUUUUCCAUUCAUUUGCUGUUUAUGACAUUUGCAGUCUAUGAUUUGUUUAAAUAUUAUAGAUAAAUACUGAAUGCUAAUAUUUGGAUUUCAGCUUCAAAGCCUCACAUCACAGGAUCAGGCUUCUUAUUAAAUCUACGUGCAUUGCAUCUUCCUGUUGAAUCCUCUCAUAGCUUUGCACAACUAGGUAACACCUUUGGAUUAUGAUUGUCGCUUUUCUGAACAUCAUGGACAUCAUGUAUUGUUGCAUCAUUACGGUUGUCAGUUACUUGUGAACAUCAUGGCCUGUUAAAAGAGAAUGGCAUGGAUUAUGGUGCCGUGGCAAUGUUUCUUGCUGUGACUGUAGGAUAUGAUGCUCAUGCUAAGAUGGUAUACCUAUAGCUAUAGAUUUCCUUGUAAGAUAGUAGUCAAUCUCAACAAGGAUGAUAUAAAGGUCUUAAAUAUGAAGUUAGACAAUAUCCUUACUCUUCAUUCCUGAUUCUUGGUUCAUUCUGAUAUAUUGUUUAUUUUUGUUAUUCCUGUUAGUUAAUUUCUUCAUUUGACUAUAAUCUAAGUCAAACUUGCAGUUCAAGGUAGUUUCAAUUCUUGAGGUGAACUCAUCGUGAAACUACUUUUGAACUAUAGUUUGUGACUCUUUGUAUUCUACAUGUAAGGCACAAAUCUCGAUGUGAUAUCAUUAGUGCUAAUUCUAGCACAAUAAGAUAUUCUCCUGUUUGUGUGUGAUAUCAAAAUGGUUAUCACAAAUGUAUGUUCAAACGGUUUUUUGAGUAUAGAGACUUGUUUGAAUAUUACUGAUGAUGAUUGGAAUUCUAUUUUGUGAUAAGAGGAUGUAGUUAAACGUCUAGCAUUCCAUAAAGUAGAUUCAAAUGAUUCUGUGCACUCUGACCAACAAUGCAUGUGCCAUUUCAUGCUUUUUCGAUCACAGAAUUUCCUCAAAGGGCCUGAGAGAAGAAGCUCAGAUUCUCAAGGUUUGCUCAGAUGGUCAUUCGUUCCUUAGGAUUGCAGCUACACCCACAAGUUCAUUUCGUGCUUUAAUUAUUAGAUCGUUAAGAUAAUUUACGGCAUAACCUUAUGUAGGCGCCUCUUUUCUAAUGCUAAAUUUUGUCAUCGACAUAUUCUGUAAUUUGCCUUUUUUUUUUCUUUUUUCUUUUUGUUAAGUUUCUUGAACUUUGAGUUAAUUAUAGGCAUGCUAUUGAUGUGUUUGAGCACCAGAUUUGGGACCAUAGCUGGGUUAAUUCCAAAAAAAAGCACCAACUUUAGGUCGAUGGACAAAUCUGGCCCGAACUUUUUUUUGUCUCAUAAAAAAGCACAAACUUUAGGUCAAGUGACAAAUCUGGCCCGAACUUUUUCUUGUUACAUAAAAAAGCAUCAACUUUAGGUCGAGUGACAAUUUUGGCCCCAUUUUUUUUUGUUUCGAAAAAAAAUCACAAACUUUCACUUAAAUCCUAAAUCUGGGCCCCCCUUAACUUAAAUUCAUUGAUUGUUUUUAAUCAAUAAAUCCAUGUGCACUUACUGGACUAACACGACAAUUGUCUUCUUGUUUGAGCUACAGCUUGAAGAAUAACGUGAAACUGUGUCAUCUCAUAAGUAAAAAAUCUACAUAUUGAAUUUCUCUAGCUAUAUUUUAUCAUUUUGUCGUAAUAUGAAGCUAUAGAUCACCACCUGUUAAGAGAAACCACAGAUGAGAUCCACCAAUUUCAUAGCUAGAACAUUUUCUCCUGAAAUAAGGUUAACUUCAAAUAGAAAGUUAACGGUAGGGGUUAGAUUUUGAAUAGGAGCGAAAGUUUGUAAUUUUUUAUGAGAAAAAAAGAUGGGGCCAGAAUUGUCACUUAACCUAGAGUUGGUGCUUUUUUACAAGAUAAAAAAAAGUUCAGGCUAGAUUUGUCCCUCGACCUAAAGUUUAUGCUUUUUAAUGAGACAAUUUUUUUUUUUUUUGCCAGAUUUGUCCAUCAACCUAAAGUUGAUGUUUUUUUAUGGAAUUAGCCCGACCAUAGCAUGUGUGAUCCCUUCUGAAGAUAAAAGUGGUAUAUAAUUUGCAUGUGAUUCGCAUGGAUUUCCUGGCAAAGAAUGCAUUGACUAGAUUUAAGCUUUUCUAAUUAUACCAAUUAUGUCAAAAACACUAGAAUAUAUAAUAUUGUAGAGUCAGUUAAUGUGGUGAUCGUUCUUGACUUUGCCUAGCAUAAAAUUGUGGCAAAACCUCAAUGAUUUAAUAGGACAGGUGGUGGCUCAAAGAGUACAUUAUAACUCCAUGGUUUGCUCGAUUAAGAGGCAAUUGGUAGUUACUUCUCCAAUAGUGCAAUUGGCAAUUACUGGGAGAAUUACCAAAAAAGUCAUAAAUUUAUUAUCAUUGUGUUAAUUCAGUUAUAAACUUUUUUUGGGGCCAAUUUAGUCCUAAAUCUUUUACAAUUGUGUCAAUUCAGUCCAUCUAGCCAAAAUUGGCCUGCCAGUGCUAACGUGGACACUGGCCGUCCGGUGAACGCUGACGUAGCAUUUUUUAAAUAUUUUUUGAAUAUUUUUUCUUCUUUUUUUUCCCAUCUUCUCCUUCGCCUGGCCAACCAAAGGCGAGGGUCGGUGAGGCUCACCCCCACUGGCUAAAGGCGAGGGUCGGCAAGGUCAGCCUCGCCGGCCACUAGCGAGGGCAAGGCUUCGCCUGAUCCGGCGAGCUUGGCCCUCACUAAAUCUAGCAAGGCCUCGCCCAGCCAAGGCGAGGGUCGACCUCGCUAGUGGCCGGCGAGGCUCCUUGCCACCCUUGCCUAGCCAAGGGGAGGGUUGACCUCGCUGGUGGCCGGCGAGGCUCCUCGCCCAGGGAUGGUGAGGCUCGACCUUGCCAUGGUUGCGCGAGGCUGAGCCUCGCCAGAUGUGGCGACGGCAGCUUUGUCGUCGCUAGGCGAGGCUUGCCUUCGCUAGUGGCCGAUGAGGGCGAGCCUCGUCAGUGAUCGGCGAGGUUGCCCUUGCCGACUAGAGGAAGGAGAAUGUGGGGGAAAAAAAGAAGAAAAAAUAAUUUAAAAAUUGCCACAUCAGCAUUCGCCGGCCGGGCGACCGGCUGUCCCUAGUCGGCGUCCACGUUAGCGCCGGCUGGCCAAUUUUGGCCGGAUGGAUUGAAUUUGCGCAAUUAUAAAAAGGUUUAAGACUAAAUUGGCCAAAAAAAAAGUUAAGGAUUGAAUUGUCACAAUUGUAAUAGGUUUAUGAUUUUUUUGGUAAUUUUCCUGGCAAUUACUUCUUCCCAAAGUGUGCUUUCGGGAUUGCUCAAUCUUGUAUGAUAGCCCUUUUUUCUUCCCGGUUAUAAAAUGUCAAAUUUUGAGUUCUUUCUAGUUAGUAUCGAUAUAUUUUCAUCUUUUAAAACGUCUGAAAAUGCCAAACAUUUGUCUGACAGGCUCAGUCUAACAUGAACUUCACUAUAAUCUGUUAGAAUAUGUGGGUUGACAUCAAUUGCAUAAUGUUUAGGUUCGCAAGAAAUACUCCGUUAUAAUAUUACAAAAUAUAUGAGGAUGUUAUAGUGCCAAAAUUAGAUUAUGUGAUCAUAAUAUAUAGGGCUUAGCAUAUCUCGGUUACGGCAAUAAUGUGGUUGGCUGAUUAGUGAAGACCAGUAUUUUAACGAUGACCUGUAUUUUUUAAUGGGUCUAUUAAAAUAUUUUGCAUAAAUAGGUUAUGGUCUCCGUGUCCCGCUUAAUUCCAUAUGCCUAUGGAUUAUCCAUCAAGACCAUCUAAGGUAGGAGAAAGAGAGGAAAGCCUAGUCCUGAAUUUGUAUGGCUCUAUCCAUAUUACUCGAUUCAAAGAUGAUAAUUGGCUAAACCGGAUGUGUUUUUUUAUUCAAGGCUAGGUAUUGUAAAUUCUAUACAAGCGUUUUAGAUCAAUGAAUUUCUUAUGUGUGCUAGGAGAGUAGCUUUAUAAGGGUGAAGAAUACACAUAAUGCAUAAUCUCGAUGAAAUUACAUGUAUAGUGCAUAUAUUUCACAAUUUAUGGGCAAGUUCAGGAAUUUGAUUAUUUUGGUUGCUUCUUUUAGAUAUUGAUAUGGAUUUUAAUUGCCUGUUCUCUGAUAAAUCUUCUUGGCAAAUAUCGUGUUAUGAGUUAGUCUAUUCUGUGAGGAUUUCAAAUAUUGAAGGGCAUGCGACCGGAAAAAAAUAUUUUGCAAUUUGACCUCUUUGGUCGUUAUUUUGGACAAUUAAUUUAUGGCUUUUGUUACCCACGCAACGAUUCUUAAUACUCCGUGAAUUUUGUGUCCUAAUUUAAUUUGUGCAUUAAAAAUUUUCCACUUGAAGAUUUUGGAGUAAACAAGAGAACCAAAAGUCAUGCGGUGCAAUUCAACAAUUCUACUUUAAUGGUCAAAAUCAGUUCUUGAGUUUUGUUCUACAAUGUAUAUCGGUCCUUUUGCGAAUUCCAUGUUGUGAUAUGAACUGGGUCAUGAGAAUUUCAAUUUAGAAGUUUCAUAAAUUUUUGGAUUAUUUACCUUAUGACCGAGUAAAGAAACUCCAAAUUGGAUAACGAUUUCUUACUAUAAGACGAAAUCAGCUUCCUUAUCGUGUAACUCACAGCAAUUUCGGUCAUUUUGCAGCUUUAAUGUGGCAUCCGAAAAUUCCAACGACCCUCAAAUAUGCAACAGUCACGUUUUCUUUUAUCUAUUGGACCGACCAACCAUGCAACAAGAGAAGUCUUUGGACUUUGAUUGUUUGAUGGAAUUCAGCCAUGCAUGAGGAACACGCAUGCUGAAUUUAAGAAUAAAAUUUUGAGGAAUUGGACUGUGCAUGAGGACCAUGCAUGUCUUUUCUUUGUGCGAUUCGGCAAGUGAGGAAAUGAAUUUUUAUCACCAUACAACUCUAUCGAGUUCUUUCUCCACGCGAGAAUUUUGAUCACAUACUGUUGCCACAUCGUGUGGCCAUUUGAGUAGGCCGUAAUUUAGCUCAUGCAUGUGCGGAGAUUAAGGUAAAUAUUUUGAGAAAAUUGGGCCACGCUUGGAGACCAUACGGCCACGAAUUUGUUGGCCCAAGCUGCCCGAGUUUCUUUUUCUUCUUCAUUCGGUCGACAGCAUGGAGUCAACAAAUCAAGGGAUUAUUGACUGAGAGGAGCCCAGCAACUGCCACGUUGCUCUCCCAUUCGGUGGCCAGCACAGGAGGAAAACCGGACAAGGAGAGACACGCCUCCUCCACCUGUCCAUUUCAGCUUCAGCCACUUGCACAAAAAGUGAUUAAUUAGUUAAUCAAAGAACAAAAGGGGGGAGUUCGAAUUUGAGGGGAAGAGAGAGAGUGAACCGAGCCAGAGAGAGAGAGAGAGAGAGAGAGGGCGCGCGGGUUUGAGCUGCGAGGGAGGAAGAGAAGGAUCGCCUUCUGCCCAUGCUCGAGCUGCCGCCGUCGACGUCACCCAUCUUCGCCGCCGUUGAGCCGCGUUUGAGGUCCCGAGCUUCCCAUUCGGUUUGUCGAUUGAGCUUAGGAGUGAGGCAAGUAGAAGUUCAUUAAUCUAUGUUAUGCAUGAGGUGAUUAUCUGGUGAAGUGCUAGUAGAUUUGAGAAAACGCUGAAAUGGAAACUGCAUGUUGGGUUUUUGGAUGAUUGAGAUGAAGAUUGAGUGUUGUUCUGUGGAGGAUCAAAUGUAUUGUUGUUGUGUUGUGUUGGAAGUCAUUGCAUGUUGCUUUUGAGUCCUGCAUGUCUCAAAAAUUUAGUGAAAGUUGGCUGUUUUGAUUGAGCAAAGUGAAGUGAUACUUGCCGAGUGAAGAAAUGAGGUGUAUGUUGAGAUGAGUGAGCUUAUGGAUGAAUAUAUGCUUUGAGCCGAGCUAUGGAAGGUUUCUCUGUUAAUAAGAACUUGCUGAAAGUGUUCUUAGAUUCUGUGGAAGAGUCUUAAAGUGUUGUAAGAUAGAUUGGUAGAGAAACAAAUGGUUUGAUUGAACUAGAAAUGAAGAAAACUGUAUGUACCGAUUCUGUUUUAGAGAAAUUUAGAUAGAAAGUCUUUUUAAUUGUGUUGCUCUGAUUUAUAACGAUGAAGCUAAGGAAAGGAACCAUUUUACAUAAUAGAACACCCAUUAGAUUGAGUUUGACAUCUAGCUAUAGCCACAUGAAUGUAAAAAUAUGAAGGUAGAAGUGAACCUAUUGAAAACAGUGAACUGUUUCGUAGAGAAUAGUUUGACCUGUGAUGAUGACUCCGUGAAUUUUAUGUAAUUAUAUAGUUAGAAUUAGACUUCAAACUCUUAAUGAAAGUUGUAGGAAACAUCCUUAUGAAUAACAUACCAAAAUUUGGGAACAAGCGGACAAGAUUUAGUUGGUGAAACAAAUUUUAUUUCUGUAGGUACUGAAUCUGAAAGUUACUGCAGAAUUUUGAAGGAAACAGAAAACUAUUACUCUUUAUACACAACGAAUCUGACUUAGUAUACUUCAUGAAAUUUCUUCAUUUAGAUAUCAUUUAUAUCAUAUCAAAAUUUCAGAAUUUUCUGAGUUCAUUUAGGGAUUAUUCCGAAAUUGUUACUAAAACUGUGUAUUGUGAUGUUUGAGCUAUUUUGUUCCGAAUUUGCUCAAUUUGUCCCAAAGGUGAAUGUGUCUUGAGUUGUUAUUUGACAUGAUUAUAUUGACAUUCAGUAUACCAUGAAAUAUUGAGAUUUGGUGAAGAUUCAUGGGACAUCUUGUCAUUGCAUUGAAAAGUGUUUUGGAAAUUAAGAUGUUAAUAGUUACCGUUGGACUCUCGGGUCAACAAUGCCCCGGGAGUCGGGAUGCCCAAUGGUUCGAAUGAGUUGAUGCCUUUAGAUGCAUGGUUGUAUUAUGAAUACAUGCCCAGAGGUUUCUCUAAAAGCAUCGGGAUGCCCGGUUGUAUGCUUGUCGGUACAUAAAUCCGGAGGUUAGGGGUAACCAUGUCUUUGGUCCCAAGUGAUUCUUCGUGAUGCCAGGUGGGGUGCGAGAUGCCCAAAUGUUUGAAUGAGUCGAUGCCCUUUGGAUGUCCGGUUGUAUUUUGAAUACAUGCCCGGAGGCUUAUGCGAUGCCAGGGAUGGGUGCGGAAUCCCAAAAGGAUGCAAACGUUGGUCCUCUGGGGGGAUAAAACUGUUUGAAUGAUUAAAUCUGAUGAUUAUAUUAAGUGUGAGUGUGGUCUGGUUAUGAGACUAAAUUGUAUGGUAUGGAAUGAGACGUAUCAUUACAGUUUGGCCCUAUGAUCGGGACUUGUGUAACUGGACAUGAUGCAUCUUGAGGGUUUUGAAAUUGUACUUGCCAUUGCAUUGAAUAAUUUCAUGAUUUUGAUGCUUGCCUAUCCAUUGAUUACCUGUUUUUGUCUAUCUUGCAUGAAUCUGGAUAUUGAUGGUACUGCGUGAUAUAGCUUAAUGAAUCUUUUACUGCUGAGUGGUUGUACUCACCCCAGUAAGGGACUAACAUUUCAGACUAAGUCAAGAUACCUCUGCUGCCACCGCCACCAGUACAUGGACCGAGUGAUUGAAUAUGACCACGAGGAAGAUGAUAGUAGAGGAAUGAACUUUUGGACGCCGAUACUGAUCGAUGGACUUUAAGUAUACAAUUGUUGGAAAAGAUGUCGGUUAUAUUUUGAAAUAUAGCCGAGUAUAGAAGAUUACGGCAUUUUGGUAUACCGACGAAUGAUGUUCAUCUGGUUUAAGUAAAUAAAAGUGUUCGGCUUUUAUCUUAUAAAAGUUUUAGUUGGUGUACAUUGUCUCUAAAUUUUGGAAUAGGGAGAUGUUGGAUUUUGCUUCCGCUAUUAUAUAUAUAUAUAUAUAUAUAUAUAUAUAUAUAUAUAUAUAUAUAUACACUGCGCAGGGACCGAUCUAAAUGAUAUAAACCCCUAGGACUUAUGGACCUAUUAUAAUUUUAUGGUAUCAGAGUUAUAUAUUAUCAGGUCAAGAGAAAGGCAGGUGAACUGUGGCGACCUUAGCGGAUCGGGGCCGUUCGGGGGUGCCACAUGUAAUUUCAAAUGAAAUCCAUUGAGGGCAUCCAAAAUCGAGUUUUGGGUAUUUUGAGUUUCUAAUUCGUAAUAAUUGGACCAUCGUUAGGCUAUUAGAUGCACGAACAAGCUUCGUGAUGCUGUUUCCGAUCUUAAAGGUUGUUUAAACAAGUGUAGUUAUGAAGUUAUUAUGCAUUUACUCAAGAAUGUAUUUGACCGGCUAUGGAGUUAUUCACAAGCUUUUUGGUUGUUGGUCUUUUGAUAAAUCAGAGACUUUAUUUUAGAUUAAAGCAUUUAAUCAGGAUUUCAUGUUAUUAUUUUAUUAUAAAAUUGAAAUAGAGGCAUAGUUGAGCUUUAGAAGGCUUGAAUUGCGGCCUUUUAACUCUGAGUUUGUAAUGGAUCAAGAUUGGGUAAAAAAUUGGGUCGAGCAACCUGGACCGAGGGGUGUAUUUCUACUUUUACUUGAAUGAAAUCUCUUGUUUUAACAAAAAAAAAAACCUGGACCGAGGUCGAAGAAGACCACGUGCACAUGCAAGUCAAAUUACAAAUGCGGAAGAAGCACGUGUAGGCACGUGAGAACUCUUCCAACUCUGAUUUCAAUGCGAUUUUUCAUAUUGUGCUCCACGUGCCACGUCAUACUUUUUGUUAAGAGUUGUACACCUGCUCCAAAAAAAUAACAAAAGUAAACAAUCCACCGAAGCGAAAUAUAAUAAUAAAAAUAACAUAAUAGAAACAACACACUAGAAAAAUUAUUACCCAAUUUUUCCCAAAAUUGAGCUACAUCUCCACACAAAGGCAUCCUACAAAUCCACUAAACUUUGAAGAAAGUAAGUAUUUAAAUAAUUAUAUUUUUUCAAAAUUAGGGUAUAAAGAGAUUGAGAAUACUUUUGAAGAAACAACCAAUUUUUUUUCUCUCUUUUCCUUAUUUCUCCGUUUGCCUUGACGGCUACAACCUAUUUGUAAUUGAUACAUGAAGUGUAGCUUUUCACCUAUGGCCUUGCGCAGAGGUCAUGACAACCUAGUUGAGUUGAGAGCCAGGAUCUACUGGGUCGGGAGUGGGCAGCUAGAUUCAAGAAAUGCAUCAGUAAGAACAAAAUUAAAGAGCCACCUAAAACAAGAGAUUGAGAGAUCUCUCGUGCGAGAACUUGGCGGUAGAGAAGUGGAUAAAACUUACACGAGAUUGGAGCUUGGGAUCUACCAGGAUCGACCAAGAUUUGGGUCACUGUGACCUUCGUGUAAGACCGCGCGAUGGUUGCCGCCACCUAGAUCACAUAGUCUCGGUGACCUCCGCAUGGAGGUCGUGGCAUGGCGGGUUGCACAGCCCUUCGAUGAGGGUUGCCGUGGCUUAGAUCGUGAUCCCAACCCUCGUCGAACCACCUACUCUUCACUGGACCGCCUGUCCUUCGCCGGCCAACUCUUCUCCUUUUUUUUUUGUUUUUUUUAAUAACAAAAGCUUUUUCCAAAUAUAAUUUCUCCAAAUACUAUUUUGCUAAAAAAUACUUCAUAAUGGACUUUUACAGUACAAUUUACCAAGCACAAUUUGUAGUUUGGAAAACUCCUUUAACUCAAUAGCCUUUGCAUUUCCCCAAAAACUUUGCCCAAAAGCCUUUCUGAAUGCACCAAAAAACUAGUGACCGGAACUUGUGCCUUUGCGAUACUCCUCAUUAAUUAAUACAAAGUAAUACCAAUAGUAGUAGUGCAGAAAGUAUGCUUCUCUUUGUCUACUACCUUGGUAAAUAUAUUAACCAGAUUUUUCGAGUCAUCAAUCUUUUGCAACUCUAACUCGUUAUUUUUCAAUGUUGACUUAAUGAAAUGAUAAACACCUAUUGAUAUGUCUAGUCCUUGAGUGAUGAGUUGCAUUCUUUGUUGGGUGAACUGCACUUUAACUAUCACUCCACAGUAUGCUUAUUGACUGCUUUCGAUGUAACUCAUCCAUGUGAUCUUGUAACCACAUGAUUUCCUUAGACACUAUAGAGUCACUACUUUUUAUAGUUGAGAUGUAUCUCCAUAAAAAAGAAGAAGAGUAAUUUGAUGUAUAUGCUAAAUAUAUCUAUAUACAUUUUAGUGCAUUCUAAUGCUCUUUACUCAGGUUAUGCAAAUAUUAACUCACAACUCUUACUGCCUAUGCAUUGUCUAGUCUUGUGCUCACCAUGAAACACAUCAAACUUCCCAUCACUAAUGCACAUGGGAUUGCCACUAUUUCAUCUUUCAAAGCUUUUGUACUUAGAGACAUAUCCUUGAAAAGUUUGAAAUAAUCCAAUGGAGGAGUUGCAACUAGUUUUGCCUUAUUCAUGUUGAAUCUUUUUAACACCUUAUUCAUAUAAUCUUUCUGCGAUAGCCAUGAUUUCUUAUUUUUCCUAUUCUUGAUUAUUUUCAUGCCUAAGAUUUUCUUCGUCUCUUCCAAGUCUUUCAUAGCUAGCUGUAAUGUCAACAUCUUCUUCGCUUUUGUGAUUCUCUUCAUAUUAGAGCCCAUCAGUUUGUCAUCCAUAUAUAAAGAGAGAUACACUAUAUCAUUAGACCAAGAUUGCGUCGAGUGUGAAUUGAAUAUGAGACCUUUGUUUGAACCCAUGUUUAGAGCCAUUUUAAAUGCGAGUCAAUGAGAAUCUCUUAGAAAAUGGAGUCAUUCACUAGCAAAAUAUUUGUUUUCGAGGAACGUCACACAUUUAGGUUGCAUUAGAAUUGAAUGAGUUUCUACAAGUCAAAACUCAAAAGAAAAUGCAUGCAGUCUUGGUGAACAAACAUCACACGUGAUAUUCUUCUUGAGGCAAAUUUGUGCUUUCUUUUUAUAUUUGGCCUGCUUAAAUAUCAUUUAUUGUCAUACAUGGUUCUCAUUAUUGAUCCAUUCAUUCUAUAUUGCAAAUUGAAAUAUUGGUAUAAAAAGUCCAUUUUUUGAGUUCUCUUCCUUAGCUAAUAAAAAUGUAUUAAAUUCAUAAUCUCACUCACCGGGACAAAAAACAUCCGCCUAACAAUUAUAGGCAAAAACAAAUAAGAAGAACAAGCGAUAAUUGUGGACCACAAUCAAAGACGCGAACGUUGAUGAAUUGCCCCAAUUGACAUUAAACGAAUGGACAAUAGAUCCCGUUGGACAAAGCACAAGCAUUUCAUCAGUAAUGUCAAUAAAGUAAGGGUAGAAGUAAUUUUAGCCGAACAAUUUUAUGUCAAUAAGGAUGAUUGGUUAAAUCAAAUAUGUGUUUUAAGGUUAGGUAUUCUUGGCGCUAUAUACGGGUUUUAGAUCUUUGAAUUUCUUACAUAUGGUAUCAGAGCAAAUGCAUAUAGGUUCAUAAUCUAAUUGAUGCAUACUCUUGAUUUCGGAAUUUCUUACAUGUAUAGUUCCUAGAUUUCAAGGUUUAUAGGUGAUUUCGGGAUUUGAUUUGGUAGCUUAUUUUCGAUAUUGAUAUGGAAUUUUAGUUACCCGUUACAUGCAAAAUCUUCUUUGCAAAUUCCGUGCCGUAACUCGGUCUAUGUAAUGAGAAUUUCAAAAAUUGAAGGGUAUGUGAACCGGAAAUGAUAUUCUGCAAUUUAAUCUUUUUGCUUUUUAUUUUACACAAUUAAUAUAUGGCUUUCGUUACCCAUCUAAUAAUUCUUAUACUCUCUGAAUUCUGCGUCCUUCAUCUGAGCAUAAAGAGUUUCACACUUGAAGAUUUCGGCAUGAAUAAGAGAACCGAAAUAUAUGAGGUGCACUUCGACAAUUUUACUUGUUAGUGCACAAAAUUAGUUAGGGGGUUCUGCUCUACGUUGAAUAUUUGUUUUACUCUGUUAAUUUCAUGUGGUGAUAUGAUUUGGGUCGUUAGAAUUUCGAUCCAGCAGUUUCAUAAAUUUUCGGUGCAAUUACCUUCUGACCGAGUACCCAAGCUUCAAAUCGGAUGUCUACUUCUUACUAAAUGUCCAAAUUCCCUUCAUUAUCGCAUUACUCACAGCAAUUUCAGUCUCUUUUGCAGCUUUAAUUUCUGAUUCGGGGCACCCAAAUCGAGUUUAAUGGUGCAAAUUCCUUCUAAUUGGAACGUCAUUAGGCUAUCAAAUAAAUGGUUAACCUUGGGUCCCCACAUCCCAUGGAAUCACAUCUUGAGGUAGGGCUUGUUUGAAAUCGAGGGACUCAUCAGGAAUUAACUUAUAUCACUAUGCUAAUCUGGCCAGCAAUCAACCCUAAUAUGGAUCGUUCUACUUUGACAAUGUUUAAACUUAAAAACCAAAAAGCUGUAACUGUCUCCACACGAUGCAAAUCAUAAAGAGUCGAGGACAAUUCAUCCCAUCAAAGCGCGCUAACACAAAACAAACAUCUAAAGCCAUGGAUUUCGAAGAUCACACACUUUUGGAAAGAAGAAAAUCUCGCAGACAGAACAAGCACAAAGCUCUGUGCAUAACCCGCACUCGAGCCAUAGAGAACCGAAAUAUAUGAGGUGCAAUUCGACAAUUUUACUUGUUAACCUUCGUGAAAAAGGGGGUAUAAGCUGUCGCGUGAUCUAAAGCCAGAAUGGCCAUACAAAGAGGAGGAGAAAGGAGAGGUAUACUAAUAGAGUAAUUUUUCUCAUCAGUGACAAACGGACAGGAGUGAUUAUUUCACGAUCUUAUGCAUGUGGUCAAGAAACUAUAUAUCUUGAUUCUUUUUGGGUAUGUAAAAAUCAUAUUAUUCAUUUCUUUUUAGAACUUUGUAGCCCAAAAUGAAAACGAAAUAUCGUCACAAAUUGAUAGAAACACAGGGUUUUUUUUUUUUUAAUUCAUCCCUUAUAAUUUUAAAGUUAAUGCUUUCACAAACGGCUUUCUAAGUCUAAAAGAGAUCAGUCGAUAGAAACAGAGAGAUCUAUGCAAAGAUGCAAUAAAAAUAAAAGGUCCUGCCCAUUGAACCCUCGAUAAUCUUUCCUGCUUCAGUACUUCCUCAACAUUUUAUUAACUCGUAUAUUUAUAGAUGAGGAAUAAGGAAAAGCACCCUUUAGACACUAUUAUAGUUGAUUAAUUCAGUACGCAUGCUCCGGUGCUAAUGCUGGUGCGGGGACAGUGGUCUCAAACUGUAACAUGAUAUACUCCUCCCAUAAUUCAUCCACAGACUGACCAAGAAUAAUCACGAAAAACGCAUCGGAGUACAAACUCUCCCUCAUUGCGUUGAGGUCCGACACGAACCCACGCCUCUUCCCGCUGCAAAACUCCAGGAAAUACGCCGUCACGGCAUGCCCAUCGUCCCAUCUGGAACCAGACCCUCUCGGCGGCCAAUACUUUGAUGGCCAUCUCGCGUUCAACCGGAUGUAGUCGGCAAUGCCUGUGAUAAGGCCAAUGGGGGCAGUAUCACUGCCUGUCCAUUGCCAUACGCGAGCGCUUUCGUGGUAUACAAUCCCCGUGAACUCGGCCUUCACGUCACCGACAUAUGCUUGGAGGUAGUCUGCGUCCACUCGGAAUUGGUUACCGUUGUUGGUUGCGAUGGUGGGGGGAAAUCCAUUAGCGACAAAGCUCUCGAUGAUCGCAAGCACCGUGGAGUAGCCUCUUCCCCCACCGUUGCUUUAAUUGAACGUCUCCAAGACAAAGUCAGAAGCGGUUGAUGAAGUUUCCAAAGCGAAUAUAGAUCCGAUCUCAUUCUUGAAUCUGUUGUCAGUGGUGUUGGAGGUGUUGUCAAGUACCUCGCAGAUCAAGUCUCGAGCUUCUUGUGUUGGUUUCAGAGCAACGAAGACAAAAAUGAAGAGAAGAAAGAGCUUCAAAGGUCUCAUUCUGAGAAGAUGUAAUGUAUCAGAUUGUGAUGAGGUUUAUGCAAUCUCUUGCGUCUGCUUGUGGAGUAUAUAUAUAAGGUAAUCUCGAGGAUGAGUAAACACAUGAGAUCUAUUCAUUUAAUGUAGUUGACUGUUGCAACUGCACAUGCUGUAGUGAUUGUCGCCAUCGCAGUAUGUUUCUAUCCCAGAAGUGGAGUACAAAGUGCGUUUAUUAAGAUCGCUUGGAAUCAUGAAAAUUUUCAAAAAGCGAAAAAGUGAAUAAUUAAUCGUGAAAAAUAUAAAAGAACUAGACUUGUCCCAUGUGCUGAGAUGACAAAAGAGACUAAAUACGGGCUAAGUCAAUGAGUUAGUAGAGUGGAACCAUCUAUAUUGGCCACUUAAGUCAAUGAGAUUUCAUUCUUAGAACACUUGAGUUUACCAUGUCAAGAUAGACAUUAAUGCAAUCAAUUUAAGCAAUAUGCCUGUAUUACAAAGAAGAUCAACAUGGCUCUAGAUUGGUAUGAUUUUGAUAAGCAUUCAAGCACAUGAUCCCCAUAGGUGCAAUUCGUCCUAACAAAAUUGACGCCUAGAGGAAUUAUAAGAGAUGGAAGGGCAAAACUCUUUAUCUAUUUAUUUAUUCUUUUAUAGUCAAGAAGACCCAAUUUAAAGGAAUAGUCCAUCCAUCCCACUACUGUCACGUAGGAGAUGGAAGGGCAUAACUCUUUAUCUAUUUAUUUAUUCUUUUAUAGUCAAGAAGACCCAAUUUAAAGGAAUAGUCCCUCCAUCCCACUACUGUCACGUAGGAGUGACCCAAGAAAAGUUCUUUUUGUUGAUUCAUGUGCAUAUACAUAAUCGUAUGCUUCUCGAGUAUUUUUGUGUGGUGAAUCAUUUCGAUGAACCUAAUAUAUUAUUAGGCAUAAACGGAGUAAUUGUCAAUAUAAAAGGUAUAGAGGAAUUUUUAACUUUUUAUUGGUGGAUGGGUAUUGUGGAGCAAUAUUCAUGAAAUAAUAAAACGAAUCCGUUUUCACGAUUGACCAAAAAAAAAAAAGUUGGCCAUCUUACUUGAAAUGGUCGAUUUGUAUAUAGGGAAUUAUCUCAUCAAGAGAUUGCACCAAGUACAAAUUGAAUAUGAGACCUCAUCUUGAACCUAGGUUUAGAGUUAUUUCAAAUCCGAGUCAGUUAGAAUUUCUUGGAAAAUGGAGCCAUUUCACUAGCAAAAGAUUUGUUUUCUUACUCGAGCAACGAACAUCACACAUGUAGAUUGCAUUAGCAUCAAAUGAGUUUCAACUAGUCAAAGACUCACGAUAUAACAUGCAUACAGUUUUGAUGAACAAACACCACACACGAUUUUCUUGAUACAAAAAUGCAUUCUAUUUGUAAUAUCUCUCAUUCCCACUUUUCCUUUUUUUUUUUUUGGGUCCUCUCCUAUCCCCACUAAAGUUAGAUUGAAUUUAGUGGCGUAAUGCAUGAAAUUAUAGUACCAAAAUUGCAGCGUAGGAAAAUUAAGGGGGUUGUAUCAUUUUGCAAAUUAAAUAAUGGGUAAAAAAAAAAAGGAAUUUUGAGUUCUCUUGUUAAGCUAAUAAAGGCCGAAAAAAAGAAGAAGAAGAAGGAGAAGUGAUAAUUGGGGGACCACAAUCGAAAGACAGAAACGUUGAUGGACCGGCCCAAUUGACAUUGAGCAAAAGGGGAAAAGAUCCGGUUAGAUAAAGCACGAACAUUUCAUAAGUUGGUGUCUAUUUUGCAUGGGUAGAAGUAAGUUUAGCCAUAAGAUUUUAUGGUCCUAUUGUAUCAUAUUAUAAUGAGAAAUGGUUUUAUAUUAAUACAUUAACUAAAGUGCGACAAAUUAAAUAUCAAUUGUCAAAUAAUUUUUUUUUUGGUGCAACAACAAAAUAGUUAUCUUUUGUACGAAGCAAUAUUUUAUAUGAUUGGAUGAGAUUUUACACACAAAAAAAGCUUACUGAAAUUAUAAACCUUAACUAUGAAAUGCAUUUUAAUCACAAAUCAUUCAUUUUAUACUAUCAGGUCUUAAUCUUUAUAAGAGUAAUUACAAUAUCCACUUUUAGUGUAAACAAAAUUGGCAUAGGCCGCGCAAAUCUACCAUCAAUUUAAAAGAUCGGAUAGUUUUAAUCCUCAAAUAAAGAGCGGAUAAAAUACCUUGUAUAAAAUUUCAUUUAUACUGGCAAUAUAUUUUAUAUUAUUCAUCACUCUUUAUUUUCUUCUCAUCCUUCUAGAAUUAUCUAUGCAAUUUCUUUACUAAUAUUUUUGUUUUUUUUUUUAUAAUCUACUUUUAUAGUCAGAGUGACCCAAUUACUAGUAGAAAGUAUAAAAAAGAAAUACAUUUAAAACACAUGAGUAAUCGCAUUAAAAAGGAGUAGUCCCUCAUCCUAUCACUAUCAUGCGCUUCUUGAGGCAUUUUUUAUGUUUAAGUUUUUGAACCAUCUCUAUCAACUUGAUAUGUUGUUAUUAGACAUAAAUGAAAACAAUUGUCAAUUAAAAGGGAAUGGAGCUAUUUUAACGUUUAACUGAUGAAUGAGUAUUCUGGAGCACUCUUUAUGAAGCAAAGAGUGAAUUUCUAUUUUCCUAAUCCACCAAAAAAUUGGCAAUUCAUAUAUAGUAAAUAACUUCAUCAGGAGAUUGCACUAAAUACUAAUUUAAUAUGAGACCGCGUACUGAGUCUAAAUUUAAAACCAGUUCAAUUUCGGGCAAUCUUUUGGAAAAUGGAGAACAAACAUCACACAUGGAGGUUGCACUAGGAGGAACAAACACCACACAUUCAGGUUGCACUAGCAUUAAUGAGUUUCUGUUUUAAGUAUCCAAAAUUCUUAUCCCAUGUUGAUUAGGUUGGAUUCAGUGACGAAACGCAUAAAUUACGAAGCACAGUAUUUUAACCCCAAAAAAAUAAAAUUCACAGUACCAAAAUGGCAGUAGGAAAUCAAGAUAUUGCUGGUAUAGCAUGUUGCAAAUUAACUAUUGAUAUAAAAAGUCAAAAUCAUUGGUUAUGUUUCUUUAAAAAAUGUUUCUUAGAAGUUUUAUACAUUUAGUAUAAAACGCAAUCUAAUAGUAAAUCAUUCAUUUGACACUAUCCAGUGCAAAUGAAAAAAAGAAUUACACAAGCAACAUAAACUCACCAUUAAUUUAAGAGAACCGGCAAUUAUAAUCCUCAAAUGUAUGGGGGAUAAGCUCUAUUGUGUAAAAUUUUCUUUACAUUGGUUGUGUAUGCUCUAAUUUUCCUCUUUUUAAAAUGUGAUGAAGUUUAAUGGGUAUUGGUACUAUAAAUUGCUCAAGUGAUAGCGUUAGAGAUUUAAAUGUACAAGACAAUUGAGAAGUGAUAACCAAAUUGACUAGAAUGUACUAUUAGGGGAAAAAAACUUACUAUUUGGUUGCACUAUUUGAAAAGUUCAUAACCCAUUGGCAACAAAAAAAGGCUUUUUACUUCACUCAUAAAAAUUUCAAACUUCUAAUAUGCUUUUUAUCUAUUUGUUUUCUGAAAAAUACAAGUAUAAAUCUGUGCUUCCUUUGACAUCAUUUGGUCUUUUCAUUUUUUUAGGGGUCAAGUUUGUAAUUUAAAAAAAUUAGUGGGGUCAAAGUCUACGAAAGAGAUAAAUAGAUACUGCAUGUGAAAAUUUAUGGAUAUAUAAUAUGAAAUAUAACAAUUUGAGACCCCACUCAAAUGAGGGUCGCGUUGUCCUUCGAUCCAGUUCAAAUGUUCAUUGGUUGAUAAAGUCUAGUUGGGUUUUCUCUGGGCUAAAUCAGAAGUUUGCGCAGCUAUGGUCAUGUUUGACGAUAUCUCAGCAAUCGUUUCCGCUAGUCACUAGGUGGUGUGAAGGUCUGUCGAUAGUGCAGCUGUGACUGCACAGUGGUUCAGAUGCUACGAAGAGCGUCGGGGUACCGUCAUGGGCUCCAUCAAAGAGGAAUUGCUAGAGCCCAUGUCAAGCAUUGGGAGGGACAAGGGAGAUUUGUUGACAUUCGUUGGGUCUGUUCAUUUCGGGGAACUAGGGAGGAGGGUGGUGGUGGUUUUUUGGGCUCCUUUUGGGACAAUUGAUGCUUCUUCGAUGAGAUCCGACCCAUCAUGUAGUAAACUAACAAUUGUGCUUGUGUAUGCUGUGUCCUAGAAUUGAAGUUCUAAGUAUUUCUCACGGCCAAUUGGAUGCGAUUUAAAAGGCGAAGUUUGACACGAAUAAUGGAUAUUGCACUUUGCAAAUUACAUAUAUACUACCUUGGCUUUAUGCCACGCAUGGUACAUAGAGAAGGAGAAACAUGAAAAUUUAGUUAUUUUAGUACAACAAAGAACUCAUUCUAACACUAUUAGUAAAAUGUAUUAAUAUGAACUUUGUAUUACAAUAUUUAUAUAUUAAAAUGUCCAUUCAUCUAAAACUUUACGUUUCUAAAAUAGUUGACAAUGGUCUUAUAAAACCUUCCAUGAUGCCAAAGUACAAAAUUCGAAAUUUUAUGCUCAAAUUUCUUGGGGUCUCUUUCCUAUUACAUAUCCCGGUCCUUUAGUGUUAAAUAAAAUCAGAGCCUACGAGUAAGAAUGUUACAACCGUUAAAUAUUAAAACAUGUCUUCAUUUACAAACUUCAUCAUGUUUAUAUUAGAUGUUAUUCAUCCAUUUUGCGGAGAUUCCUUUUUGUUCUUAAUUGCAAUUUUAAUCAUACUAUUUAUAGAGCUUUCUAACUCAAUUUUCUUUUAAAAUCCAGAAUGAUGUCCAAUAAAAUAAUUUUGUGUCCUUUUUAUUUUCUAAAGAUACUUAAAUAGGCCAAGUGCGGGAAAAAAAACACAAUUUUUUUUUACUGUGACCAUAUUACGACCUUUCUCAUGUACUAACAAAAGCGCAACAUUCAUUUUCCCUUUGUAACACAACCUUUCAAGUAUACAAAAAAAAAAAAAAUGCACAUUGGUUGACCUAUGUGACCAAAAUCACAUCUAUUAGUAUUUGGUCCAUAACCGGAAUAUCUAGACCUCUAUCCGUAAGAUCCAAUUUUAGAAAAACAAUUUCUGUACUUCUUUUAGGAGGAGGGAAUUUAUUUAUUUAUUUAUUUAGAGAAAAUAAAGUGAUGUGAAUAUCGAGAAGAUACCAUGAAAUCCACAUUAAGAUGGAAGUGGACUGUAACUGAGAUUGAGGUACGUUGGUACAAGACAUUACUUACUGUCAAUGUAGAGUGAGUCUGUUAGGCGAACACGUGGACACAAUAGUGGAGAGAGAAUGGACGGAUUACUAAAGAAUGCUACUCUUUUAUCAUAGUAAUAACAUUUUAUGCAAUUUUCGGGUAAGUAUGAAAGCCUGUGUUACAUAUGUCUCUGUGGUAAAAGAGAAAUUUCCAAUUAAGAGUUUGAAGUGGGAUUAUUUUCUUAAAAGAGGGCCUAGAGUAGAUUAUGUUUCAAAAAAUGACUUAAAGUGGUCAAAUCAAUCUUUAAAAUGGGUUUAGGCUCACCGGAGGGCCAUUUCCAACGGCUUGAACGGGGUGAUUUUGGUCAAAAUCUGCCAUUGGAUAAAAAAUAGAAGAAUAUUCUCAAAUGAUUUUCUAUUUUUCACGUUUCCUUCCUCUCCCUUGUUGCUCUCGCCUGAUCCUCGACCGCACCACUCCUGGUCUUCGCUGCUCGCCUGAUCCUCGGCCGCGCCGCUUCCAGUCUUCGCCCCUUGCCUGGUCCUCAGCCACGCCGCUCGGGUCUUCGCCACUCACGUGAUCCUCGUCGCCCGCUCAUCGCAAGCUUCAGUCCACUGUUCGCCGUUCACCGUUCACUGUCCACUGUCAGCUCUUCUUUCCCAAAUUCAUCGUCCACAAUCUUUAAGUCGUCCACGAGCUUCAAGUCCGUUGUUUCAUCUGCAAGCUUCACUCACUUUCGAUUGAGGUCAGUGUCGUUCGUAUUGGUGCAGUCCGUUAAAGGAAAAGCUAUUGUAGCUUGUUGGAACAACACGCCACCUAAGUAUGGGCAUGUCGUGGAACAUCACAACAAUGGCACUGAGGCUCUCUUCCCAAACCCGAAUGUCUGUUCCAAUCACAGUCAAAAAGCCUACUCCUCUGAAUUAUCUUGUUGCAAUGUUGUUUUCUCUGGUGGAGUAAUUUUCCAGCUUUCCAAGAAUGCUGGUGGAACAGCAAUCUGGGCUUUGCCAUGAUUGUAGUUGGGGGAAUCAUUAGGAGGUUGGCGAUUAGAACUGCUGGGGGGGCGUUCACACAUUUGAUCAAAAGUCAUCAUGAGGAUCAUCACAAGCUUAUAGCUUAUGGAAUCUAUCAGUUCAUCCGUCAUCUUGGAUAUUGAGCAUUCUUCAUUUGGUCGAUUGGGACUCAAAUAAUACCGUGCAAUCCCGUGUUCAUGUUUGCGUUCACGACACAAGUUUGGCACUUAUUUGUAACAUGGUCACCUUAUGAAGAGUUUUUGCCGAGACAAUUCUUCGGGCAAUAGGAUGAGGAAUAUGAGCAAACUGUCCUUUGGGGGUUCCAUUUGUGAAGUGAGUUCCGCAUCUUAAGGUCUUAGGAAAGAGUGCAGCAUCCUAGAUUCAGUUCAUGUUGUCUGUUGGAGGCCUCAAUGCAGCUACUUGGAUUGGAUUUAACAAUGUUAAUGCAUCUAUUUGUUAGAUGAAACUCUCUGAGCCCUCCAUCUAUAGAUUGGACUAUUUAUAAGUUGUAAAGCACAAUUUUACAAAUUGAGAAAUCAUUUUCGCUCAGCAUGUUUGUUUUGAAAAUUUUGUGCAGACUCGACUUUCUGCAUGAAGGCUUGUCAUUCUUGUCCUUAAUUCUCUCUUUAGUUAUGGUUGUGUAGCAUUCACAACAUGCUUUGUAUUGAUUUAUCAAAAUGGCAAGGUGAUGGAAUGGUUGAGUGGUACAUGUUCUAAUUUCCCAAAUAAAAUCUUUCGUUGCUAUUCAUUGAUGUCUGUUAACUCUACAAUAUUCACGUGGUUCUUAAUUUUUGUUUUCUCUUGGUUUUCUUGCUUAUUCGGAGUAAGUAGAACUAUGUGGCAAGUUUAUCAUAUUCAAUCUGCUAAUUACUAAAUGAAGUUCCAUAAUUUGCUUUAAUGGCAUUAUUCAAUUUUCAAGCAAUUGUCAUCACUUCUUUGAAAGCUCAAUGGAAUGCCAAUCUACAAUCAUUGGUCAGUACACUAUGCUGUAUAUUAAUGACAUAGCCCAGGAUGAACAACUAACCAGUAGACAUGUGCCGGCAACUUUGUAAAUUUUAGUUUGUGCUGUUCGAUUAUUUCCUGUCCUAAACCAGCAAAAAUUCCAUUGUUCACUCAAUUCAAACCAAUUUUGUAUCUAGCAUGCUCCGAAGGGAAAACUAUUUUGCAUAUGGAAACAUAACAUCUGUGAUAGCAAACUAUUUCGUAGUUGAAGGUAAACUAGUUCAAAAGAUCAGUAAUAAGCGCAACAUAUCAUUUAUUUUGGAAUAUGAAGAUGAAAACUGACAGUCACAUGAGUCUUGACACCCUUCGACAAAAAAAAUAUGUAUAUGUAGGUCAAGUCCAUGACAAUUUCGUGUGAAGCACUCGACAAAGAGCAACGCAGUCGGGGAUGAGCUUGUCAUGGGGUGGCCAACAAUCUUUGAUUCCUGGAGCAUCUGAGAACUCCUUCAUCCAUGUAAAUAGAAAUGGAAACCUCUCACCUUCAACCACUUUGAUACUGAAAAUCUCCUCAAAGACUCUAAGUAGAUGUCCAACAAUCCAAUUGUGAUGUCUAGAUAUCCAAUGGUGUCUCCGCUGAAAAUUUCUUCCCUCAAAGCUCUUCCUCCAGCUUCUGCAGGUGCUCACUUCCCUCUGCAAGAGCAACUUCCUGCCCUUUGCCUUCACUUAAGAAUUUCUUCCGUCAAAGCUCUUCCUUCAGCUUCUGCAGGUGCUCACUUCCCUCUGCAAGAGCAACUUCUAGCUCCUUGCCUUCAGUUAAGAAUUUCUUCCCUCAAAGCUCCUCCUCCAGCUUCUGCAGGUGCUCACUUCCCGCUGCAAGAGCAACUUCCUGCUCUUUGCCUUUACUUAUAAAAGGCAGUCGAUAUUGAUGUAAUAUUUCAUGACAUGCCACAGCUUGAGCAGCAAGUCUUCCAGUGACUUUGCAAAAUUCAUUAGACAAAGUAGUCUCUUGUCCAUCAGAAGAUAUAGGAAGCCCAGUGAAGAAUUCAUCCCCUCUUGCAGAUUACCACAAAAGCAUUAAUCAGAGAAGUUGAUACCUAGCUUACUGACAAUAACAAAGUCCAAUUACUAACUUAAGGAUGCCAUAAAAAUCGCCAAAGAAGAAGAAUUUCGACCUCGUUUUCUGCAAUGUCCAAAACCCGCAACUCAAGCUUUUGUCCUCACAGCUCCAAAACAUUAGUAGUCACUAAUCUUACUGUUAAAUUCACUAAUGAGCACAUCUGCCGUACGAACAAACAGUUCAUAGAUCACAACGAGAAAAGCCAGCCAUUGAAGUUUGAAGUCAGAGGACAGAACAAAAGCUUUUGCUAGAGCAACGCUGGUGCGAGGCAAUCCCAACUUUGCCCCGGAGGAGAACCCUCCUCGCCAGCUUGGAUCAAUUUUUCGGGGAAGGGCAUUCGGGGGAAUGGAAAUUCCUUUCUUUUGGGAUUGCGGUGGCAUGAAUAGACUGAGGAGCAUCGAAGAGAGGAUCGGAACUUGGGUCUUUCACGAUAAUUGCUCGCGCAAGAGGAGCAGGCUUUGUGACUGUAAGUUGAAGAGAGGCAUUCGGAUUUGGGAGUAGAGCCUUAGGGCCAUUGGUGAACAUGCCUAGGCGAUGCGUUGUUUCAACAAGCUACGAUAGAUUUCCCUUUAACAGACUGCACCAAUAUGAACGACAACUAACUUCGAUUGAAAGUGAGUGAAGCUUGCAGACGAGACAACGGACUUGAAGCUCGUGGACGACUUAAAGAUUGUGGACGAUGAAUCUGGGAAAGAAGAGCUGACGGUGAACAGCGAACGACGGACUGAAGUUCGCGAUGAGUGAUGAGGAUCGAGUGAGCCACAAAGACCCGAGUGGUGUGGCUGAGGACCAGGCCAGCAGAGAAGACCAGGAGUGGCACGGCCGAGGAAUAGGCAAGAGCAACGAGGGAGAGGAAGGAAGAAAACGUGAAAAAUUGAAAAUUAUUUGGGGAUUUCUUCAAUUUUUUAUCCGACGCAUAUUUUGACCAAAUUACCCCAUGUUCAAGCCACUGGAAGUGGAAAUGGCCUCUAGUGAGCCUAAGCCCUUAUUUGAGAUUGGCUUGGUCACUUCAUAUCAUUCUUUGAAACAUAAUCCACUCUAAGCCUUCUUUUCAGAAAAUUAUCCAACUUUGGGCUCUUAAUUGAAAUUUUCCCUUGAUAAAUGUUGCGUGAUUUUUUUUUUUUUGGUGGUAUGUUGCCUGCUUAACUAUCAUUUAUUAUCAUAUAUACUUCUGAUUUUUUAUUUAUUCAUUCUUUUAUUGCAAAUUGAAUUAUUGGUUAUUAAAAACCGAAUUUUUUAGUUCUCUUCCUAAGCUAAUAAAACUGUAUUAUAUUCAUAAUCUCACUCGCCGGGGGAAAAAAAAGCCGCCUAAUACUAGUAGGCAAAAAAAAAAAAAGAAAAAAAAAAGGAAAACAAGUAAUAACUGUGGACCACCAUCGAAAGACAAAAACGUUGAUGAAUCGACCUAAUUUACAUUAAACAAAUGGGCAAAAGAUCCGGUCGGACAAAGCACGAGCAUUUCAUCCGUGAUGUCAAUAGAGCAAGCGUAUGAGCAAUUUUAGCCGUAAAAUUUUAUGUUUUCAUAAUAUCAUACUAUAAUGAGGCAAGCUUUUAUAUAAAUGAAAUAACUAAAGCACGACAAUAUGAAAUAAUAUGUGGUAUUAUUGGAUACGUUUUAAUGAGAAAAAGAAAAAGAUCAUAGGAAGCUCUGCACCUUAUGUAUAAAACGCAACCUAAUUAUUAAUCAUUCAUUUGAUACUAUCAAAUUUUAAUCUUUUUAAAAGUAAUCAUAGCAUGCACUUUGAGUGUUAAAGAAAAAAAAAGUCUACCAAAGCUGCCCAAUUCCACCGUUGAUUUAAGAGAUUGAGUAGUAAUGAUCUUCAAACCAAUGGAAGAUAAGGGCCUUUGUGUAAUUAUUACACACAAGUUUAUUGUUCCUUUUUUCUAAAUGUGACGAAGUUUAUUGGGUAUUAGUAGAGCAAUUUGUUCAAGUAAUAGUGUCAGAGAUAUAAAUAUGCAAGAAAUGGAGAAGUGAUGAUCAUAUAGUUGCAUUACUUAAAAAAAUUUGUAACUAAUUGGCAAGAAAAAAAGGAUUACACUCAACUGCAUUCCACGCAUAAAAAUUUCAUGUUUUUAAUAUGUUUUCUAUCAUUUUCCUUUUCUAAUUCAAAUGUAAAUUUUAAAAUUUUGAAUUUUUUUAAUGUCGUUUUGUCUUUUCAUAUUCUAAUGGGUCAAGAUUAUAAUAUGGAAGUGAGGCUAAAGUCUACAAAAGAGGCCAAACAUACAAUGUAUACAAAAAUUCAUAGAUGUAUUCUAACAAAAUUAAAAAUUCAAAACUCUACUUGAAUAAGAGAUGCUCCAUUCCUGGAUCCAAUUUAGAUGUUCACAUGUAAAUCAAGUUUCAUUGGGUUGCAUUUGGGUUAGAUCAAAAGUUUGUACAGUUGUGAUCAUGUUCGAAGAUAUGUCAGCUAUUGUUUACACNNNNNNNNNNNNNNNNNNNNNNNNNNNNNNNNNNNNNNNNNNNNNNNNNNNNNNNNNNNNNNNNNNNNNNNNNNNNNNNNNNNNNNNNNNNNNNNNNNNNNNNNNNNNNNNNNNNNNNNNNNNNNNNNNNNNNNNNNNNNNNNNNNNNNNNNNNNNNNNNNNNNNNNNNNNNNNNNNNNNNNNNNNNNNNNNNNNNNNNNNNNNNNNNNNNNNNNNNNNNNNNNNNNNNNNNNNNNNNNNNNNNNNNNNNNNNNNNNNNNNNNNNNNNNNNNNNNNNNNNNNNNNNNNNNNNNNNNNNNNNNNNNNNNNNNNNNNNNNNNNNNNNNNNNNNNNNNNNNNNNNNNNNNNNNNNNNNNNNNNNNNNNNNNNNNNNNNNNNNNNNNNNNNNNNNNNNNNNNNNNNNNNNNNNNNNNNNNNNNNNNNNNNNNNNNNNNNNNNNNNNNNNNNNNNNNNNNNNNNNNNNNNNNNNNNNNNNNNNNNNNNNNNNNNNNNNNNNNNNNNNNNNNNNNNNNNNNNNNNNNNNNNNNNNNNNNNNNNNNNNNNNNNNNNNNNNNNNNNNNNNNNNNNNNNNNNNNNNNNNNNNNNNNNNNNNNNNNNNNNNNNNNNNNNNNNNNNNNNNNNNNNNNNNNNNNNNNNNNNNNNNNNNNNNNNNNNNNNNNNNNNNNNNNNNNNNNNNNNNNNNNNNNNNNNNNNNNNNNNNNNNNNNNNNNNNNNNNNNNNNNNNNNNNNNNNNNNNNNNNNNNNNNNNNNNNNNNNNNNNNNNNNNNNNNNNNNNNNNNNNNNNNNNNNNNNNNNNNNNNNNNNNNNNNNNNNNNNNNNNNNNNNNNNNNNNNNNNNNNNNNNNNNNNNNNNNNNNNNNNNNNNNNNNNNNNNNNNNNNNNNNNNNNNNNNNNNNNNNNNNNNNNNNNNNNNNNNNNNNNNNNNNNNNNNNNNNNNNNNNNNNNNNNNNNNNNNNNNNNNNNNNNNNNNNNNNNNNNNNNNNNNNNNNNNNNNNNNNNNNNNNNNNNNNNNNNNNNNNNNNNNNNNNNNNNNNNNNNNNNNNNNNNNNNNNNNNNNNNNNNNNNNNNNNNNNNNNNNNNNNNNNNNNNNNNNNNNNNNNNNNNNNNNNNNNNNNNNNNNNNNNNNNNNNNNNNNNNNNNNNNNNNNNNNNNNNNNNNNNNNNNNNNNNNNNNNNNNNNNNNNNNNNNNNNNNNNNNNNNNNNNNNNNNNNNNNNNNNNNNNNNNNNNNNNNNNNNNNNNNNNNNNNNNNNNNNNNNNNNNNNNNNNNNNNNNNNNNNNNNNNNNNNNNNNNNNNNNNNNNNNNNNNNNNNNNNNNNNNNNNNNNNNNNNNNNNNNNNNNGACGGUGGCACGGCCCCGGCCAUGCAAUGGUCAAGCGCUACGAAGAACCUUAGGGCACCAUUGCGGGCUCCACCAAAUAGGGAUUGCUAGAGCCCAUUUUAAUCGUUGGGAGGGAGCAGGAGGACUUUGUUGACAUUAGUUGGGUCUUUCGGGGAGAUGGGAAGGAGGCAUGGUGGUGGUGUAUUGGGCUUGUUUCGGGGUGGGGCCUGUCUGAUCAAGCUUUUUCUCAGUCGAGAUCCAACCCAUCCAGUAGAGGACUGAAGUCGUUCUUCUUGAUGUUGUAUCCUGGAAUUGAAAUCCUAACUAUUUAUCGUGGCUAGUUGGACCAGGGGGGGUUUGAUACAAGUGAAUUUAUUGCGCUUUCAAUUUACAUAUAUACUGGCUUGGCUACCCGUGCCAUGCAUGGCAAAUAGAAAAAAGAAAAGCAUGAAACUUUAGUGAUUUUACUAUAAUGAAGAACUUAUUCUAAAAUUAUCGGUAAGACGUACUAAUAUGAGCCCUUUCUUACGAUAGUUAAAUAUUAAAAUGCCCAUUCAUUUGAUAACUUGCACUUCUAUGAUAGUUGACAGUGAUUUUAUAAAACUUUUCAUGUGAUAAAGUAGGAAAUCCAAUAUUGUGUGCUCAAAUCUCUUUCAAAUUACAUGUUUCUACCCUUUAGUGUUCUGAAAAAUCCUAGUCUAUGAGUAAGGGAGAGAGUGUUCCAACUUUUAAAAUUGAAAUAUGCUCUCAUCCCCAAAAUUCCUCAUAUUUGUAUAAGACGGUUUUCAUCAAUUUCAUGAUAUCUCACAUAAAGAGAAAGUGAUUUGUUUUCAUUUAUUUCUCUUCUUGAUUGUAAUUUUGAUCAUGCUAUUCAUUGAGUUUGAAUUUUUAUUUUCUAAAGAUACUUAACUAGGUCAAAUACAAAAAAAUACAAAUUUUCAUCACUAUGACCAUUUGAACACAACCUUUGGAAGGUACAAAAAAGAUGCACAACAUUUUUGGUCCAUAACUGGAAAGUCUCCUUUAUCCAAAAGGUCCUAUUUUGGAAAAAAAUAAUUUCGUGUACUUCUUUAAGGAGAGUUUUAUUAUUAUUUUUUUAGAGAAAAUAAAGUGAUUUUAGUGUUAUGGAGACACCAUGAAAUCAAUAUUAAGUUAAAAAGGGACUGUCUUUUUGAGGUUGAGGAUGUGCUGGUUCUAGUCGUUACUGGUUCUAGUUGUGCUUUUUUAGUCGUAGAGGUAAAACGUCGUACUUUGGCCUACUUAAAUAUAAUUUAUUAUCAUAUAUUGUUCUCAUAAUUGAUUCUUUCUUGCUAAUUUAAUAGUUAUUGACAAUUUGUGUAUGUAAUAGUAGAAAUCUUCUUGAACUUUGUUACACAAAAUUUUCUUAUUAUUUUAAUACUACAUAUGAAAUAACGAUGGUUCUUGAAAUUUGAUAGACAUUGACAAUUUGUUAAUAAGUUUCAAAAAUUUCGCAAAAUUUUUUACAGAAAAUUUUAUUUUGUUUUGAUAUAAGUAUAAGGUUAUUCAUUUUUACUUUGCAUCAUGUCUUUUUCGUAGUAUUGUAUCUUAUUUUACAUGGUAGAUUUCAUGUCCUAGACCUUACCCUCGUCGUGGGAAUGCGACAUCUGCCGCGUUGGGAUUAAUUUGUAAUAUCUCAAGAGACAUUGCCAUCUCAUUGAUUUCUUAUCUUUACAUUAAGCAUAUGCGGAAGCAUGCAAUUUUCAACACCCAAUCGACGACGACAACAACAAUGGAUGGUAAAGGAAAACUCAUACACAUAUCACAUAUUUCCCAUGUUUUUUUUAUUUGUUUAUUCGGAACAUUUUAAAAUUUACAAGCUCACCACUCGAGGGCCAUUUCAAUACGGUCAUCCCUACAUAAAAAGAUAUAGAAAGGGGAUUUCACAGGCUUCAAGGGGAAAUCUGUCUCCUCUAGCAGAGAUUUAACCAGAAAACUUAACGGCAUGGGAGGAGCACGUCACUCCACUAAGAGAUUAAGAGAAUUGGCUUGGGGGGCGGGGGCGGGGGCGGGCGGGCGCUGAAGACGAUCAAGCUGCUGUUCCGUCACCGAUGUCCGCCGCCGUUCGCCGCCAUUCGUGAUCUCAGCUGCUGCGUUGGCCAAUGGGCCGGACUCGGGUUGGUCCCGGUUUGGCACUGUUCUUGGCCGAGCUGAUUCGAAGGGGAAAAAGAUGUCGUUUGGAAUCCUUCGCGAAGCUGUGAUUUCGUUCGUUCGUUGAAUCGUAAAAGGCCCUGUUGCCGUUUCGAGCGUUCGUCACAGUGCAAACGUCACGGGCCAGGUUAAUAUCUAUUAUCCUUGCUUUGCUUUCCGAUAGACUUCAAUCGAGAUCGAUGUUCUUUCUUUUAAGAUUAAAGCACGCGUUGGGCGCGAUCGGAUUGUUGCCUUGUUCCGAAUGUCGCUGGUUGAUCUUACUUUGAAUCAGGCCGUGAAUUCGAGCCCGAGACGGCGUAAUUUUACUUCGCAAUUUUGUUGACCACCAGAUGUUUGAUAAUAUGCCUCUAAGUCGCAGACAUCGAAUAGAUGGCGAUUUCGUUGACCCAUCCUUUUCUUAGUGCAUUGAUUCUGAACGCGUACCGCUCUGUCCGUCUCUCCUUUGUAUUGGCAUGUUUCUUUGCUGCAUUCGAUGACGAUGGCCACUGACGAGAGGGAUCGGCAUUCAAACGGUAGAAAUAUGUUUGUGUACUGGACCUGCAAGAUCUUGAUCUUAUAGCUGCAAGCUAUGGAUUCAUUCCUUUAGUAGCUGCAUAUUGAUACUGAAAUAUUCCUACUGUUGGCAACUUGAUGCUGAUUUCUUCCGGAGUUACCUAUUGUCCUCAUAAUUUUUUCUCCUAACGAGAAACGAGACCUAUUUACCUCUUCUGUAUAAAGCACAGCAUUGAAGUUCCUGUCAUGUAAGAAACUGGUUUUGGCAACUGGGUGCAUUUCAGAUAUGUUGUUUAUUUUCUAUUAAGAUGAUUAGUAUUUCAGUCUUCAUUAGUGAAUGAUCUCAAAUUUGUUUAUGUUAUAGUUUGAUUGAACAGCUGUGUGAUUGUUGAGGAUGUGAACAUCAUUCCGGCAGGAAGAAACCGGUCUAGUGAGACAUGAAAUGUAUGUUUAUCAUUGCCAUGAUUAGCCCGCGAGGUGUUCGUUAAAAUUUCCCAGGGAAAAUUGUGUCGAACAUCUCACCAGAUAAGCAUCUUUUGUGAAUGUAUACUAGAGAUGACAACAGUAUAUUAGAGAUGAUGUAGAGAGGACCUUAAACGAGCACUGCAGUACAGAUUGUGUACCUGGACUUGUCCUGCUUUAUUCCUGGUCUGAACUCAAUUGGGGAGAGGGUUUGUCAGGCUGUGGACCUCUGAGUCCAUGAUGGAAUUUUGUACUGGUGUGUGGUGAGGUACUGCUCGCUUGGUGCAUCAGUUAGACUCCAUUGAAGCACAAUUUUCCCAUAUGGGCAGUUUAUGCUAGUUUUGUCUGGAGAAUUCUGUGGUUUCCUAGUGAACAUGCAUGCUCCAAAAAAAUCCUUUUUUUACCUGGUCAUCUAUCAAAACACUUGGGUAUGGAUAGUGCUCCAUACUUUUUUGGAAAAUGACUUCCACCUUUAAAAUUAGGAAGUCAUUUUCCUUAUUUUUAAACUUGGUAUUUUCUGGUUGACUGAAGUCAUUUUUCUUUGACCAGCUUAUUUUCCCACACCUAACACUAAAAAAUGGAAAUAGAAAUUUUCUGGCAAAAUAUUUUCCUUAAAACAAAUAGAGCCUAAGUCAAAAUUGAGUUUCAUCUUUCCAAACUACCUUUGAUCAUAGUAGAAAUAUAAUUGGUCUUUAAGGACCACAUACUUUAUAAAUAAAUACUAAUUUGCAUCUAUGCAUAACCACCUAAUUAUGCACUCGUGCAUCCCCUUUAACCUUUUUUUCUUUUUUUCUUUUUUUCUUUUCAUUAAUUCCCCUUAAACCAGGUUAACUACAUAUAUCCUAAAAUAAAUUUCUGUUAUUCUUUCUUCUAUCAUUCUUUUUCUUUGUUUUAAUUCUUUCUCUCCACCUUCUUUCUUUGAUAGCUCUUAAGCUCCUUCCUUAUCUUCACCGUAGGCAAACUUUGAACUCCAUUGACGCCAUUUUCAAUAUCUCGAUUGCUCAUCUUUCAUCCGACACUAGCGAGCCUUGACGAGUGGAAGAUUGCCACUUGCCAAUGGAGCUGACAAACAGAGGAAGUUCUUCGUAAAACAGCCCUAGUGAACUGAAGGUGGCAGAGACUGGCGAGUGGAGGCAGAGUGGAGGCAGCAGACUACCACCACUGACCGAAGCCAUGGAAACUGAUAACAUAGCUUUGGGUGAACGAUUCACUCCUAAGGUUCUGGGUUUUAUGCAGCUUGCUAUAGAUCAGGUAACGCUUGGCACAGCCGAUUGUAUUAAGUUGAUGAAAUACUUGAGCUGAAGUUUGAGUCUGAUUCCUUUGGUGCUAUAAUUGCGUGGGAACUUGAAGUUGAAUUUGGACAAGAGAUGUUGAAUAAGUGUUUCUUUGUAAGUGUUGUCUGUGGAUGCUUGGUAGUGCAUCUGUUGGUAAUCGACAUUACGUGCAGCAAAAUCAGCAACAAUCCCUAGAAGGUAUAGGUUUUCUCUCUCUUUUCAUAGGUGGUAAUUUAUUGAAUUAAGUAGGUGAAGUCUAGGUUUAAAGGAAAAACAAGCAAG
This 38352-nucleotide long non-coding RNA is filed under the name Eucalyptus grandis. RNAcentral's name for it is "long non-coding RNA (EGRA_LNC002929)". The record is from RNAcentral. Lineage: Eukaryota; Viridiplantae; Streptophyta; Magnoliopsida; Myrtales; Myrtaceae.